UUAACAUUUUCUUCUGACUGGUGACAGUCAAAAACACUAAUCUGUUAACAUAUCCUGUGUCUAUCAAACAAACUAUUCCUUCUUAUCUAAACAAAAAUGCAACAUUGAUAAGCCAUACCACUUUUUAAGAAAUAAGCAAUGCCUUUACUUUAAUCUCACAAUAUACUUUGUACAUUAAAACAUUUGUUUAUAAAUAUAAUAUAUUUAAUAAAAAAUGUGUCUCAUGUACAGACAAUAAUAAUCAAUAAAAACAAAAUGCUGGACUUUAAGAACAUGGCUACAGGGCUGUUUUCAAGCAAUGUAUCAAUAGUUUGAUGAAAAUAACAACAAAUGGCAGUGAACAUGUAGUUCUCAGUGUCCCAUUGCAGCACACCAAGGCAAAGGGAAAGGAAAGGGGAGGGGGAUUUUUUUACAUGAGAAAAAUAAAAAAAGCUAAAUUAAUAUUUAAGCAGUCAUAUACAUUAAAAUAUGUUCUUCUCUGUCAUAUACAUUAAAAUCUGUGGCCCAGUGUCGGCAUACUACUUCAGUUUCAGUCCCAAAUUGACUCUGAAGAGUCAGUGAGUAUAAUGACACCACAACACAAUCAUAAAUAUAUUAACAAAAUUACACAGUAACCAAAAAAUGUACAUAGAACAUGCACCAACAAAGGGACCAAAUAUUAAAUAAAUAUAUCUAAAGUCUUUGUGCUGUGAUGAGGAGAAUUUAGACACACAACAACAUCAUUUAAACAUUGUUGCACAUGCAGCCAUCUUAUUUGGACCACUAGCUAGCACUAACACACUAGAAAGAUGCACUGCUUCUUUUCUUAUUACACAUAUCUUAAGAGCUUAACAAUACUUUAACAGCCAUUAUUAAACAUUGUAGUUGUCAAUGUUUCUAAAAACAGAAUGUUCCCUCUCCUGCCUCACAAUUGAGACUAUAACAAGAGCCACACUCUCUCUAAAGUAUUACUCGUCAAAGCCAAAUGAAGUCUUGGAUGUAGUAAAACUUAGUCAUACUACUAAUUUCAGUCAUAUUCAAAGUAUUGCACUUCGUUACUUAAUUGCUAUUUAUGUAAUUUAAGUUCCGUGUGGAACUAUGAUGAUGAAGUCCCAUUACCCUGAAGGUGACAUCAAUUUCUUAUCCUUGUUACUCUGCUGAAUGGCAUGCUGAGUGAUUUCAUUUAAAGCAGCCAGGACAAUUUUUUCUUAUUACUAUUUUAUUGUUAUGAUACCAUUACAGAACAAUUACAUACUCAAACUGCAGGUUUGCAAUAUGUAUGCUCUGGCAACUGUUGGUCUGAUGGGCAUAAUCAGUCAAUGGUGACAGAAGAAACACUAGAUUACCAAAUGCAGAAUGUGUAUGUAGAACACCAAUAAGGAUUAUGUAUCCACUGUAUCUCUGCAUUUCUUUGCAUUCUUCAGUAAGAGAGCUUACAUGUGGUGUUUACACAAUAUACUGCACUGAGGUGUCUGGUAUUUUCUGAAGCUUGCCACAUCUCACCCACGUAUCUACCUUGUCCACUUAAUGCUUUGCCUCUCCACUACUACAACAAAACCAUUGUUAGUUCUACAACAUAGUUUCCCCACUUUUUUCUGGAAUAAAAUUAAUUCCCAUCCCACUUAAUAGCUUGUGAAGGACUAUAAUGGUUGGUCUACAAUGCCCCAGUGUCAUUUAACACCUUCAUUUUUAUUGAUAAGGAUUAUCAUCACCUAACUUGAACUGAAGAUAAAACCAGAGUAGCUUCAUCACUGUGUUGAAAAGAGAGACUAGGACAGACACCUCAUACACUCUACUAUUGAUUCAAGUGGAUGCUGUAAACCUCUAUUCAAUUACACAAACACUGGAAGACUGCCAUGUACAGUAGUUAGAAGAAUAGAAAUGGACCAUCUAUUUCCUCUAUUGUUCAUGAUAUUCCAUAGGCAGUUCCUGGGCAAUUAUUUUCUACACUGACAUAAAUAUUGUUGUUGUUUGCUGCUUGAACUCCAAAUUAUAACUUGGACAUACUGUGUGCAGCAUUUCAUGCAGCAAUUGUUUCCCAACACUGACUAGAGUGUUCUGAAGCUGCUUCAGGCACAUUUCUGAAUCUGAUUUAAAUUAUUUCUGACAAGAUUCAAGCACAAUGAGUACUGGAUUCCAGACUUUAAUUAAAUUUUCCAAUACAACCAACAAUAAUUUUGUUUGUCUCCUUUACUUCACUGUCCCAGAAGCACAGAACCUGCACCACAAUAAUGAGAUCAUUUCAUCUCAAAUGCGAGGCAAUUCUCAGCAAUAGCAAAUUUACUAAGAUGUUGCAUGUUCUUCACAUCCUCAUUUAACAUUUCUUACAGUCUAUUCAGCAUACAACAUCCUACAGUCAUAAGGUACACAGAACAUACUCUGUCUUU
This is a long non-coding RNA of Schistocerca cancellata (South American locust), 2366 nucleotides long. RefSeq lists it as uncharacterized. The record is from RefSeq and is a predicted model, not a curated record. The transcript is spliced from 2 exons. Lineage: Eukaryota; Metazoa; Arthropoda; Insecta; Orthoptera; Acrididae.